This 1367-nucleotide ribosomal RNA is filed under the name Klebsiella sp. 87C.5. Its description in RNAcentral is "bacterial SSU rRNA". It matches the Rfam family "Bacterial small subunit ribosomal RNA", at positions 72 to 1435 of the family's 1533-position model. Lineage: Bacteria; Pseudomonadati; Pseudomonadota; Gammaproteobacteria; Enterobacterales; Enterobacteriaceae. The record is from RNAcentral.
CAGAGAGCUUGCUCUCGGGUGACGAGCGGCGGACGGGUGAGUAAUGUCUGGGAAACUGCCUGAUGGAGGGGGAUAACUACUGGAAACGGUAGCUAAUACCGCAUAACGUCGCAAGACCAAAGUGGGGGACCUUCGGGCCUCAUGCCAUCAGAUGUGCCCAGAUGGGAUUAGCUAGUAGGUGGGGUAAUGGCUCACCUAGGCGACGAUCCCUAGCUGGUCUGAGAGGAUGACCAGCCACACUGGAACUGAGACACGGUCCAGACUCCUACGGGAGGCAGCAGUGGGGAAUAUUGCACAAUGGGCGCAAGCCUGAUGCAGCCAUGCCGCGUGUGUGAAGAAGGCCUUCGGGUUGUAAAGCACUUUCAGCGGGGAGGAAGGCGUUAAGGUUAAUAACCUUGUCGAUUGACGUUACCCGCAGAAGAAGCACCGGCUAACUCCGUGCCAGCAGCCGCGGUAAUACGGAGGGUGCAAGCGUUAAUCGGAAUUACUGGGCGUAAAGCGCACGCAGGCGGUCUGUCAAGUCGGAUGUGAAAUCCCCGGGCUCAACCUGGGAACUGCAUUCGAAACUGGCAGGCUAGAGUCUUGUAGAGGGGGGUAGAAUUCCAGGUGUAGCGGUGAAAUGCGUAGAGAUCUGGAGGAAUACCGGUGGCGAAGGCGGCCCCCUGGACAAAGACUGACGCUCAGGUGCGAAAGCGUGGGGAGCAAACAGGAUUAGAUACCCUGGUAGUCCACGCCGUAAACGAUGUCGAUUUGGAGGUUGUGCCCUUGAGGCGUGGCUUCCGGAGCUAACGCGUUAAAUCGACCGCCUGGGGAGUACGGCCGCAAGGUUAAAACUCAAAUGAAUUGACGGGGGCCCGCACAAGCGGUGGAGCAUGUGGUUUAAUUCGAUGCAACGCGAAGAACCUUACCUGGUCUUGACAUCCACAGAACUUUCCAGAGAUGGAUUGGUGCCUUCGGGAACUGUGAGACAGGUGCUGCAUGGCUGUCGUCAGCUCGUGUUGUGAAAUGUUGGGUUAAGUCCCGCAACGAGCGCAACCCUUAUCCUUUGUUGCCAGCGGUUAGGCCGGGAACUCAAAGGAGACUGCCAGUGAUAAACUGGAGGAAGGUGGGGAUGACGUCAAGUCAUCAUGGCCCUUACGACCAGGGCUACACACGUGCUACAAUGGCAUAUACAAAGAGAAGCGACCUCGCGAGAGCAAGCGGACCUCAUAAAGUAUGUCGUAGUCCGGAUUGGAGUCUGCAACUCGACUCCAUGAAGUCGGAAUCGCUAGUAAUCGUAGAUCAGAAUGCUACGGUGAAUACGUUCCCGGGCCUUGUACACACCGCCCGUCACACCAUGGGAGUGGGUGCAAAAGAAGUAGGUAGCU